RNAcentral lists this ribosomal RNA (460 nucleotides) under uncultured bacterium. Its description in RNAcentral is "partial 16S ribosomal RNA". It matches the Rfam family "Bacterial small subunit ribosomal RNA", at positions 338 to 795 of the family's 1533-position model. The record is from RNAcentral.
CCUACGGGCGACAGCAGUGAGGAAUAUUGGUCAAUGGGCGCGAGCCUGAACCAGCCAAGUCGCGUGAGGGAGGACGGCCCUACGGGUUGUAAACCUCUUUUGCCGGGGAGCAACGGGCGCCACGUGUGGCGCCACUGAGAGUACCCGGAGAAAAAGCAUCGGCUAACUCCGUGCCAGCAGCCGCGGUAAUACGGAGGAUGCGAGCGUUAUCCGGAUUUAUUGGGUUUAAGGGGUGCGUAGGCGGAUCGUUAAGUCAGUGGUCAAAUUGAGGGGCUCAACCCCUUCCCGCCAUUGAAACUGGCGAUCUUGAGUGGACGAGAAGUAUGCGGAAUGCGUGGUGUAGCGGUGAAAUGCAUAGAUAUCACGCAGAACCCCGAUUGCGAAGGCAGCAUGCCGGCUUCCGACUGACGCUGAAGCACGAAAGCGUGGGGAUCGAACAGGAUUAGAUACCCUUGUAGUC